CCUACGGGUGGCAGCAGUGGGGAAUAUUGGACAAUGGGGGCAACCCUGAUCCAGCGACGCCGCGUGAGUGAAGCAGUAUUUCGGUACGUAACGCUCUAUCAGCAGGAAAGAAAAUGACGGUACCUGACUAAGAAGCCCCGGCUAACUACGUGCCAGCAGCCGCGGUAAUACGUAGGGGGCAAGCGUUAUCCGGAUGUACUGGGUGUAAAGGGAGCGUAGACGGCAGCGCAAGUCUGGUGGGAAAUGCCGGGGCCCAACCCCGGUACUGCUAUGGACACUGUGUAGCUGGAGUGCAGGAGAGGUAAGCGGAAUGAGUGGUGUAGCGGUGAAAUGCAUAGAUAUCAGGAGGAACACCGGCGGCGAAGGCGGCUUACUGGACUGUAACUGACGUUGAGGCUCGAAGGCGUGGGGAGCAAACAGGAUUAGAUACCCUGGUAGUC
This 440-nucleotide ribosomal RNA is filed under the name uncultured bacterium. Its description in RNAcentral is "partial 16S ribosomal RNA". It matches the Rfam family "Bacterial small subunit ribosomal RNA", at positions 338 to 795 of the family's 1533-position model. The record is from RNAcentral.